Molecule: ribosomal RNA, 1242 nt
Filed under: Triticum aestivum (bread wheat)
Lineage: Eukaryota; Viridiplantae; Streptophyta; Magnoliopsida; Poales; Poaceae
Description: partial small subunit ribosomal RNA
Source: RNAcentral
AUGGGUUCCUGGGUUCUUCUUGCCGUGCUCCUCGGGUUCUUGGCGGGAGCGGCGCGCGGCUCCGAGCCGUGGUCCAACGGCACGCAGGUCUACUCCACCAAUGCCAACUCCGGCAGCGGCAGCAACGGCGCCUUCGUCGCCCUCGCCCUCAUCCAGUCCGCGGCCGCCAAGGGAGCCGUAUGCUUGGAUGGAAGCUUACCGGGUUACCACCUACACAGGGGAUCAGGAUCAGGGUCAAACAAUUGGCUUGUCAAUCUGGAGGGUGGAGGAUGGUGCAAUGAUGUUAAAAGCUGCGUGUUCCGCAAGGGUAGUCGGCGUGGGUCAUCAAACCACAUGGAGAGGCAACUCCAGUUUACAGGCAUAAUGAGUAACAGACCUGAAGAAAAUCCUGAUUUCUACAACUGGAACAGAGUGAAGGUUCGGUAUUGUGAUGGUGGAUCCUUCACCGGUGAUGGGGCUGACGCGGCUUCAGGCCUUUAUUUCCGAGGUCAGCGUAUUUGGCAGGCUGCUAUGGAUGACUUGAUGGCCCAAGGAAUGCAUUCUGCUAGUCAGGCCCUUCUUUCUGGAUGCUCUGCUGGGGGUGCUUCUGCCAUACUUCACUGUGAUGAGUUCCGUGGAAUGUUUCCAUCAAAUACCAGAGUCAAGUGCCUCGCUGAUGCUGGAAUGUUCCUUGACUCUGUCGAUAUUGCUGGUCGUCGAGAAAUGAGAGACCUAUUCAAUGGCAUUGUGAGAUUGCAGGGUUCUGGAAGAAGCUUGCCUCGGUCCUGUACCUCUCACAUGGAUAAAACCUCAUGCUUUUUCCCGCAGAACGUGUUGCCAAACAUUCAAACUCCAACUUUUAUUUUGAACACUGCUUAUGAUGUGUGGCAGCUUCAAGAAAGUCUGGCUCCCAGAACGGCUGAUCCCCGGGGUCUAUGGCAAAGUUGCAAGCAGAAUUACGCCUCUUGCAAUAGCAAUCAACUUCAGUUUUUAAAUGGCUUUAGGAAUGAAAUGCUUAACGCCGUGAAGGGUUUCUCAGGGUCAGGGCAGAAUGGGGUUUUUAUCAACUCAUGUUUUGCUCAUUGCCAGAGCGAGAGACAGGAUACAUGGUACUCGAGCAACUCUCCUCGUCUUGGCAACAAGAGAAUCGCUGAAGCGGUCGGUGACUGGUUCUUCGAGAGGGGCAACGCCAAGUACACCGACUGCGCGUACCCUUGCGACGGCACAUGCCAUCACCUUGUGUUCAAGGGGAGGCAUCUCUAA